UACGGAGGGGGCUAGCGUUGUUCGGAAUUACUGGGCGUAAAGCGCACGUAGGCGGCUUGUCGCGUCGGGAGUGAAAGCCCGCUGCUUAACGGCGGGUUUGCUUUCGGUACGGGCAGGCUGGAGUACGGCAGGGGAGACUGGAAUUCCUGGUGUAGCAGUGAAAUGCGUAGAUAUCAGGAGGAACACCGAUGGCGAAGGCAGGUCUCUGGGCUGACACUGACGCUCAUGCACGAAAGCGUGGGGAGCAAACAGG
Molecule: ribosomal RNA, 253 nt
Filed under: uncultured bacterium
Lineage: Bacteria
Description: partial 16S ribosomal RNA
Rfam family: Bacterial small subunit ribosomal RNA
Source: RNAcentral